CUCAAAAGAAGCAGAGGGGGCUUAGUGGUGGGGUGACUGCGUACCUUUUGUAUAAUGGGUCAGCGACUUAUAUUCUGUAGCAAGGUUAACCGAAUAGGGGAGCCGGAGGGAAACCGAGUCUUAACCGGGCGUUAAGUUGCAGGGUAUAGACCCGAAACCCGGUGAUCUAGCCAUGGGCAGGUUGAAGGUUGGGUAACACUAACUGGAGGACCGAACCGACUAAUGUUGAAAAAUUAGCGGAUGACCUGUGGCUGGGGGUGAAAGGCCAAUCAAACCGGGAGAUAGCUGGUUCUCCCCGAAAGCUAUUUAGGUAGCGCCUCGUGAACUCAUCUCCGGGGGUAGAGCACUGUUUCGGCUAGGGGGCCAUCCCGGCUUACCAACCCGAUGCAAACUGCGAAUACCGGAGAAUGUUAUCACGGGAGACACACGGCGGGUGCUAACGUCCGUCGUGAAGAGGGAAACAACCCAGACCGCCAGCUAAGGUCCCAAAGUCAUGGUUAAGUGGGAAACGAUGUGGGAAGGCCCAGACAGCCAGGAUGUUGGCUUAGAAGCAGCCAUCAUUUAAAGAAAGCGUAAUAGCUCACUGGUCGAGUCGGCCUGCGCGGAAGAUGUAACGGGGCUAAACCAUGCACCGAAGCUGCGGCAGCGAACGUAUCACCCAAGACAACUUUACGGAGUUGACGAUUGACGGAGCGAAGCGACGUCAAAGCGUUCAUUAAAGUCGAGUUGGCUUAGGGAUACGUUCGUUGGGUAGGGGAGCGUUCUGUAAGCCUGUGAAGGUGGCCUGUGAGGGUUGCUGGAGGUAUCAGAAGUGCGAAUGCUGACAUAAGUAACGAUAAUGCGGGUGAAAAACCCGCACGCCGGAAGACCAAGGGUUCCUGUCCAACGUUAAUCGGGGCAGGGUGAGUCGACCCCUAAGGCGAGGCCGAAAGGCGUAGUCGAUGGGAAACAGGUUAAUAUUCCUGUACUUGGUGUUACUGCGAAGGGGGGACGGAGAAGGCUAUGUUAGCCGGGCGACGGUUGUCCCGGUUUAAGCAUGUAGGCGGAGGUUCCAGGUAAAUCCGGUACCUUAUUAACGCUGAGGUGUGAUGACGAGGCACUACGGUGCUGAAGUAACAAAUGCCCUGCUUCCAGGAAAAGCCUCUAAGCAUCAGGUAACAUCAAAUCGUACCCCAAACCGACACAGGUGGUCAGGUAGAGAAUACCAAGGCGCUUGAGAGAACUCGGGUGAAGGAACUAGGCAAAAUGGUGCCGUAACUUCGGGAGAAGGCACGCUGACACGUAGGUGAAGUGAUUUACUCAUGGAGCUGAAGUCAGUCGAAGAUACCAGCUGGCUGCAACUGUUUAUUAAAAACACAGCACUGUGCAAACACGAAAGUGGACGUAUACGGUGUGACGCCUGCCCGGUGCCGGAAGGUUAAUUGAUGGGGUCAGCGCAAGCGAAGCUCCUGAUCGAAGCCCCGGUAAACGGCGGCCGU
Molecule: ribosomal RNA, 1478 nt
Filed under: Salmonella enterica subsp. enterica serovar Livingstone
Lineage: Bacteria; Pseudomonadati; Pseudomonadota; Gammaproteobacteria; Enterobacterales; Enterobacteriaceae
Description: partial 23S ribosomal RNA
Rfam family: Bacterial large subunit ribosomal RNA
Source: RNAcentral